This 479-nucleotide ribosomal RNA is filed under the name uncultured bacterium. RNAcentral's name for it is "bacterial SSU rRNA". It matches the Rfam family "Bacterial small subunit ribosomal RNA", at positions 327 to 804 of the family's 1533-position model. The record is from RNAcentral.
CGCCUUAUACUCCUACGGGAGGCAGCAGUAGGGAAUAUUGGGCAAUGCUCGCAAGAGUGACCCAGCCAUGCCGCGUGCAGGAAGAAGGCCUUCUGGGUUGUAAACUGCUUUUGGAAGGGAACAAAACGACACUGCGGUGUAACUUGAGUGUACCUUCAGAAUAAGCACCGGCUAACUCCGUGCCAGCAGCCGCGGUAAUACGGAGGGUGCAAGCGUUGUCCGGAUUUAUUGGGUUUAAAGGGUGCGUAGGCGGCCUGUUAAGUCAGAGGUGAAAGACUAUUGCUCAACAAUGGCAGUGCCUUUGAUACUGAUAGGCUUGAGUAUAGAUGAGGCUGGCGGAAUGGGUGGUGUAGCGGUGAAAUGCAUAGAUACCAUCCAGAACACCGAUUGCGAAGGCAGCCGGCUAAACUACAACUGACGCUGAGGCACGAAAGCGUGGGGAUCGAACAGGAUUAGAAACCCUAGUAGUCCACGUACCA